AUCCCCCGGACCUCCUAUCCACCCCCACUUUUACUCCUCUAAUUUCAAAGGCGUCCCACUAUGUUUCUGUGUAAUUAAUGGUGAAAGUCUACAGAAUCUAAUUACGCAGUAAUUUUGGAGCAGUUAGUGCUGGGCGUGUGGUGUAACAAGCCUAAGACGAGGAAUGAUAUAUAGGUUUAUGAUUACUGAAUUAUUAUACAUUCCCUACAGUUUUUCCCCCUUAUGAAUUUCUUAUCAAUACCUGUUUUUUUUUUUUUUAAGAAAAUGUAGGGAAAUUGGUUGCUUCAGUGUUAUCAGUGUUGUUCCACAAAGCGCAGUGCAAUGCCAUCUAAUAAUAAUAAUAAUAAUAAUAAUAAUAAUAAUAAUAAUAAUAAUUACGUUGCUUGGAGUGUGUGCGUGUGUAUUUGCAUUUAAGUCAUGUAAGAAGAUGUCAGAUUUAUUUAGAAAUAAAAUGUAAUAUUUUAUGGUGUGUGGAGUUUAACUGUGCUGCCUUUUUCUCAUCUCUUUAAUGAAAUAGUUUCAUGUUAGGAGAAUGGCCGGAGUAAGUUAGUAGUAAUUUGGAUCAUAGCUUGACUGGGUUGAUUUUAGCUGACAGAGCGUGUGUUGAGGCUAAACUCUGUAAUUUGCACUUCUGUUCUUUUAUUAGCGUUGGACAUCGAACUAAUGAGUUCUCCCUCUCUACAACGUCACUUUUAUUUAUUUAUUUCCGGAAAAAGAAAAUGCACUUUGUGGUACACUUGAGCAACGAGAAAGAACAAACAUAGAGCUUCUUGUCCUUUUCAGUAUCUAGGGUUUUAUAUGUAAGGACCAAAUAUAAAUUGAAAUAUUUGAACUGUGUAGGUGUGUGCAUGCACGUGCUCGCUUGUCACUAUAUGCUAACGUAAUAUAUUGUACAUGAAAUAAUGGGGAUGGAUAUUAACUUCCAUUAAAUGUUGUAUUUUCUAUUGUAUAUAAUAACACAUGAAUCACUUGCAUUUCAAAUGACGCUAUUUUCCUCGUGGUGUAUAGCCUGUAUUCGAUAUGCACGCAUAUUUCUUCAACGCCUGUUUAUUCCUAAGAUUUAACCGAAAACGUGUAUUCUGCUGGCGGCAAUUUUCUGAAUAAAAUUGAAGAGCAAAUGAUAAGACUUUUUUUUUUUUUUUUUUUAUCAAAUACCUUUAUUGAUGACAACUCAGCAUGCAUUACGAAUUGCGUGUCUAUGGAAUUGGCCUAAUAUCUUGUUGUUUUUAUUCACGUGCAUAGCUGGUAAUAAUAAAGAAUUAUCUAAUUUUAAAUACAUAUAUUUUAAAGGUAUUGAUGAUGUGAGCUUUAGAUAGUUUAAUUCGGGGCUCAAAUGUAUGUUCCAAUAUUUGCAAUGUUAUCAUUUUUACUCUAUCCGCUCAUUGGUGUGCUCGCGCGCAACCCUGACUGUUUCUUGAAAUGCAGUCUCCAGUAAAAGGCAACCAGAUACCUGUUUUUAUGUCUCUAUAUAGCAAAAGAUUAUAGGCUACACGCGGGUCCUAUAUCACUGUUGCUAGUUUAUACAAAUGCAACGUGAGUGAAUGUAUCCGAAUCACAAUGUGAAUGACGUCUGUGUGUACUUCUCUUUGUAAGACUAAUAUUCAUUGUAUUGUGUUUACACUCUUCUCGUAAAAAGAUAUAUCCUGCCUGUGUGUGUGUGUGUGUGUGUGUGAGAGAGAGAGAGAGAGAGAGAGAGAGAGAGAUCAAGUUUGAAGUUUGUCCGAUUUAAUCAGUUGAGUAGUGUUGUUAUCCACGGCGACACCUACGGGUGAAGAAGUUUGUGUCUCCCUUACACAGUAUGUUUAUUUUUUAUUUGUGUAAAUACUCGUUUGGGGUGGCGAUGAGAGGGAUGGAUCCCCAAAUGUACAAUUGCUCUUUGAGGAGGCGCACUUUACUAUUAUGGUAAGGUCCACCCGAAACCGCUGGUAGUGGCUGUCCGGGCCAGCUGAAGAGAUCGUCUGAGUACUGACCUCUUCCAUCAAGUCAAGCAGCCAAGCUUCUGCAAAAUAAGCCUGCCGAUAUGUGAUCUCGUCUUAGUUAAACAGUCGUGACAAACUGUUCUGUUUAAUCUACUGUUGUCACCUUCACCAAUAGGGUAAGGAUUUAUUAUUAUUAUUAUUAUUAUUAUUAUUAUUAUUAUUAUUAUUAUUGUUGUUGUUGUUGUUGUUGUUGUUGUUGUGUGUUUAGAAUGAUUCUUCGCUUCUUCUGUUAUUCGUGAUAUAUGCCUGAAGUCAUUAAUUUUUCCGUGGGCCCAUAGUGAAUUGCUGAUAAUGCUACAUACACACGCGUGUGAGGCUUAUCAUGUCAUUACUGUUAUGCAAUAUAUUCUGUUCAAGAUGCUUGUGUAUUUAGACUGACAGUUAUCUUUGUUAUUUUAAAUAAAUUGCAUUUAAAUAGACUUGGCGAUCCAAGCUAAACGCGCUCCUCUUUUUAAAUGUUAGAAAAUUGUGCCAUCUACCCGCUAUUCACAGAACUGUCACUCGCAGGACCUCGCAAGACCUCCGGCCAACUUUAACACAAAGGAAGAGGCCGAUGGGGCUGGGACGUGCUUCGCCAUAAACUUUCCUGUGUUUCAGAUGCAGAUAAAACUAAGAGUGGGUCUGCAACUGCACUGUCGUUCACAACCAAUAUGUAUUUAGGCUGAUGUCAACUUGGGGAUGAUGAUAUGUUACCUAAUGCAUAAAUAUUAUUUUAAGAAACCACCCAGGCUAUUCUUUUCUGUCUGCACUCUUGUGAAAGUUCCUUGACUCAAUGUUAGUGCGGGGUUCCUGAUUGAAUUUGUAAAUAAUGCACAUUCCCAUGAUAUUUGAUUGGUCGCACCUUGGUUAGCAAGGAACCGAUUCGUAUAUGUAUUAAACAGUAUGUAUAUUGUUUAAAUAUAUUCAAAGGCCUGUGUGGGACAGAACUUCGAUAUUAACUGGUAGGCCUUGAAAUGUAUUAUUUCUAAAUUUAUUAUUUUUAAAAAUUUUUCUUUGGUUGUUCAUGGGAGUGAAUUAAUAGUUCACGGCAGUUUUGUGCCGGAUUUGUAUUAGUUUAGUUUUGGGAUUUAACCUCAUGAUAGUAUCAUGUAGGAAUACAUUUUCAUAUUUAAAAAAAAACAAAAACAUGAUGACACGUGAUGUCUGGAUGUAGAUCACCAAAAUACCUUAUUGAUAUUCAAAAUAUGUCAGUUUGUCUGACAAUUAACAAAAUCGUACUGAAAUGGUGAGAGAAUGGAGAUUUACAGACGUUUAAAAGAAAAUUCACAACCGUUCAUUAUCCUUAACUCUUUACAGUUAUUCUUAAACUCACAAGCGCGUGAACUCACGUAUGAUCUCUCGCUCUCCUCUGUCUUUAUCUCUCUCUUUCACACACGCACACUAUCAAUUAAAAUGUUGUAAUUUUCACAUUUUUAAGAUAAUUCACAUUUUGUAACUAAUUAAGUUCAAUUUUACCGAACCAACAUCUUGUAGCCCCAAAUUAUAUUCACCAGUGACCCAUACUAUACCGAACUUAUGUUUUGCUGACAUUUUUACAUACAAAACUGCUAAUAUACUUUAAUAUCAGAUUUCAAAAUAAUGCCCUUCUCUUUUAUCUUUUAAGUGUGUAUUGUUUCAUCAUCAUUCUUUUAUAUAAAUUGUGAAAAAUCAUCAUCAUGAAUAUAGCAAUUGUUCACCUCCAGACAACUCGCGAUUGGUUGUUCCAAAAUUAAUAUUACACAAUAAUUUUGACAGAGAGAGAAGGAGAAAAGGGAGAAGAAAGAGCGAGAGAGAGCGAGAGGUGUACUUUUUAUUGUUGCGGUAGUACCACCUUUGUCAGAGUUUUGUAGACUGAUUAUCUCAUAGACUAACUACAGAACUACUUCAGGUCAUCCAUUGAUCGCCGGCAAUGUUAAAAACCGAAGGGUUAAUUUUCCCUCAUUAGCAUUCCCUUAGCACUAUCCCACUACACUGACACGCAGACGGCCGUCCGCAAUUCUCCGUGCACCACACACCUUUCUGAGGCCUGUUCUCCGUCUAAAAGAUGCCAUUCUUUUCAGAAUUUCCUAUUUUUCUUUUGUCUCUUUCGUGUUUUUAGGUUAUCCCGAAUUACAAUAUAUUAUCUGCAGUGCUGCACUGGUUCUUCUUGUCCACUCGCACCCCAAAGCAUUCAUGCGCAGUCCAUCUGAGAUCUUUAAUUGUGCUUUCUUGAGAAGAUUUUUAUUACCUUUCACGUUCUGUUCCAUUCUAAUGGCUCUUUCUUAUUAGCUAUUUUGUCUAAAAACGUGUUAUUUCAACCUCCCCUCCCCAACUCUUCUGCACGAAGAUGCUUUUCUCUUUCCCUCGGUAGCCUCGCACCCUCUGAAAAUGCAAAAGAAUGGGGCCAGUCGACACCAAAAUGGCAAAGUUCAUCGCGAAAAAACUUGCAGACUUACAAAGGGGCACAAGGCUUUGUAAUUGUAGAAAAGAGUGGAAAAGAAAGGGAAACGGCAGUUGAGGCAGGCGUGUGAGAGUGUUUGUGUGUGCAUGCGUGCGUGUGAGCAUGUAUAUGAGUGCACUUUUUAAUGAUUUUCUUUGAAUUGUUGUGCUGAAAAGGUGCACACUCCUGGCAUUGAUAGCCACGGUUUUGAGCAACUUCUUAUUGAGAAUUCAAUGAAUAUUACAUCUUAAUCGCUCGCUGAGUUACCCAUUAUAUAUAUAUAUAUAUAUAUAUAUAUAUAUAUAUAUAUAUAUAUAUAUAUAUAUAUAUAUAUAUGCAACAUCGGCGCCGGCGUUGGGGAACUAUAUGCAAUGAGCCUAUGUAUUUUUAAGCAAGCGGAGAUUGACUGGAGCAGGAGCCGGGGCUUCGGAGAACGGAAGACCAUCCACAGGUUUCUGCUCAAGCAAAGAAUGAAAACAAGACAAACAUACAACUCAACAAAACUCACCAAAGAGAUGCCUUGGAAUGCCACUUGAGGAGCAGGCACAGGCGACGAUUCAUUGACCAGCACAGGAGAAGUGGCAGUGGGCGAACCAACCAGAGAUUUCCACGGCAUUGGAGUGGGUCUACAUUCCUUCACUCACAGCUCUAACUCCUUUAACUUGACCUGAUGGUCAGUCUCAAGCUCAAAAGCUUGGAGUCAUCGACUGGUUUUGGUAUUCUUGCCUACUCAGCUCCAGUUCUUUUAAGCAUCGGGCGAGCAUCGAAGUACUCAGAGACGAGCGUGGAUCACUGAGAUGGAGACACGUUUGACAUGCCUUCAGCAUCCGCUGCAGCCGUAGUCUGCAGUGCUUCCAGCUCAGCAGCACCCAUGAACUCAUUUCACUCAGAGGAGGCAGUUCUGUUGAAGUCUGAGCUCUGGAUGUGAAGGCCACAGGUCAUCCGAGACAAACGUCCCCAUGUCCUGCAAAACAAGACACCCUGACACCUUCAACACUCCCCCUUCCCCUCACCUGCCUGCGUGAGAGAGAGAGCUGGCACACAGCUGCAGGGUCAGCUUGAACCAAGAGAGGUGACGCAACAGAAGCUUGGCCAAGCUCUUGCCACUGAAGAAAGCGUGGUCAAGUGUCUCCCGAAGACAAACAGCUCAUGCUAACUGGACCCCCGAAAAUGGAGCAGUUGGUGAUGACAUACGUGAAAACCAACUCUACAUACUUGCCUCUCCUUUUUCUCUUGUAUAGUCUUUCUCUUCUCUUUCUCUCUCUUCAGUUCUGUGAUUCAAAAAUUAAUUCACAAAAAUGAACAAGAGCAAGCUAAUGCAUAAAUAACAAAAUAUCUUCUCAAAAUGUAUUUAUAAAUAACAGUCAAAUGGUGGAAUGUAGUUUGUUUUGGAGGUGGAUGCAAAAAGGCAUACAAGCUAUACACAAAAGAGCAAUCUGUAUUAAAUAUGAAACACAUGCAAACAAAUAAAUAUUUCAAAUAUAUACUGGACCUUU
Anguilla anguilla (European eel) is the source of this 5873-nucleotide long non-coding RNA. RefSeq lists it as uncharacterized. The record is from RefSeq and is a predicted model, not a curated record. The transcript has 5 exons. Lineage: Eukaryota; Metazoa; Chordata; Actinopteri; Anguilliformes; Anguillidae.